AUACACAGAAGAGUGGAGACAGAGAAGAUGGAGAGGUCCACAGUAAAAACAAUGAAUAAAAGCUUGCCACCCUACGCGUUUGUCAAAGUCAUUUUGACAAACGCGUAGGGUGGCAAGCUUUUAUUCAUUGUUUUUACUGUGGACCUCUCCAUCUUCUCUGUCUCCACUCUUCUGUGUAUCC
Molecule: microRNA precursor, 181 nt
Filed under: Pelobates cultripes (western spadefoot toad)
Lineage: Eukaryota; Metazoa; Chordata; Amphibia; Anura; Pelobatidae
Source: RNAcentral